GGGGAUUUAGCUCAGUUGGUUAGAGCAGCUGCUUUACACGCAGCGGGUCGGGGGUUCGAGUCCCUCAGUCCCCACCA
Molecule: transfer RNA, 77 nt
Filed under: Kiritimatiellia bacterium
Lineage: Bacteria; Pseudomonadati; Kiritimatiellota; Kiritimatiellia
Also listed under: 1 other name
Description: Kiritimatiellae bacterium (gut metagenome) tRNA-Val
Rfam family: tRNA
About the family: Transfer RNA (tRNA) molecules are approximately 80 nucleotides in length. Their secondary structure includes four short double-helical elements and three loops (D, anti-codon, and T loops). Further hydrogen bonds mediate the characteristic L-shaped molecular structure. tRNAs have two regions of fundamental functional importance: the anti-codon, which is responsible for specific mRNA codon recognition, and the 3' end, to which the tRNAs corresponding amino acid is attached (by aminoacyl-tRNA synthetases). tRNAs cope with the degeneracy of the genetic code in two manners: having more than one tRNA (with a specific anti-codon) for a particular amino acid; and 'wobble' base-pairing, i.e. permitting non-standard base-pairing at the 3rd anti-codon position.
Source: RNAcentral